GAUGAACGCUAGCUACAGGCUUAACACAUGCAAGUCGAGGGGUAACGAGAGGGAAGCUUGCUUUCCUUGUCGACGACCGGCGCACGGGUGAGUAACGCGUAUCCAACCUGCCCCCAACUAGGGAAUAACCUUGCGAAAGUAAGACUAAUACCCUAUAAUUUCCUCAGAUGUCAUCUGACGAGGAAUAAAGAUUUAUCGGUUGUGGAUGGGGAUGCGUCUGAUUAGCUUGUUGGCGGGGUAACGGCCCACCAAGGCAACGAUCAGUAGGGGUUCUGAGAGGAAGGUCCCCAACAGUGGAACUGAGACACGGUCCAAACUCCUACGGGAGGCAGCAGUGAGGAAUAUUGGUCAGUGGGCGGAAGCCUGAACCAGCCAAGUAGCGUGCAGGAUGACGGCUCUAUGGGUUGUAAACUGCUUUUAUACAGGAAUAAAGUUAGCCACGUGUGGUUAUUUGUAGGUACUGUAUGAAUAAGGACCGGCUAAUUCCGUGCCAGCAGCAGCCGCCG
RNAcentral lists this ribosomal RNA (506 nucleotides) under uncultured bacterium. Its description in RNAcentral is "partial 16S ribosomal RNA". It matches the Rfam family "Bacterial small subunit ribosomal RNA", at positions 28 to 523 of the family's 1533-position model. The record is from RNAcentral.